CCUACGGGAGGCAGCAGUGAGGAAUAUUGGUCAAUGGGCGGAAGCCUGAACCAGCCAAGUAGCGUGCAGGAUGACGGCCCUACGGGUUGUAAACUGCUUUUAUACGGGAAUAACGCGCCUUACGUGUAGUGCUUUGCAUGUACCGUAUGAAUAAGGACCGGCUAAUUCCGUGCCCGCAGCCGCGGUAAUACGGAAGGUCCGGGCUUUAUCCGGAUUUAUUGGGUUUAAAGGGUGCGAAGGCGGUCUGUUAAGUCAGCGGUCAAAGCCCGGGGCUCAACCCCGGCCCGCCGUUGAAACUGGCAGUCUCGAGUGGGAGAGAAGUAGGCGGAAUGCGUGGUGUAGCGGUGAAAUGCAUAGAUAUCGCGCAGAACCCCGAUUGCGAAGGCAGCAUGCCGGGUCAAAACUGACGCUGAGGCACGAAAGCGUGGGUAUCGAACAGGAUUAGAUACCCGAGUAGUC
This 459-nucleotide ribosomal RNA is filed under the name uncultured bacterium. RNAcentral describes it as "partial 16S ribosomal RNA". It matches the Rfam family "Bacterial small subunit ribosomal RNA", at positions 338 to 795 of the family's 1533-position model. The record is from RNAcentral.